UAACAACAGAAGCCACUAAAAAUGAGCCAAACAUGGAAGACGGCGUAGUUGGGUGGGAGGAGGGGAACAAAAAAAAUUGGACAGGGAGGAGUCCGGUGGAUGGAUGGGUGGGGAGGAAAGGAAAGGACUACUACUGAGAUGGCUACUCUUGACUUGUCACUCAGUCAAAAGGCGGUAGAGUUGUGCUCCUCAUGUGUGUGCUUCUCUUUCACAUUCUUUUUGAGACAUAUAGUGAAAAAAAGAAGAA
This is a non-coding RNA of Caenorhabditis elegans, 247 nucleotides long. The record is from Ensembl. NCBI's taxonomy places the organism in Eukaryota, Metazoa, Nematoda, Chromadorea, Rhabditida, Rhabditidae.